GGGCGAAUGGUCUAGGGGUAUGAUACUCCCUUCGCAUCUCUGGAUAUCAGAGCUAGCUUGGGAGGGGUCCGGGGUUCAAUUCCCCGUUCGUCCA
This is a non-coding RNA of Poronia punctata, 94 nucleotides long. The record is from the annotation of a GenBank genome assembly. NCBI's taxonomy places the organism in Eukaryota, Fungi, Ascomycota, Sordariomycetes, Xylariales, Xylariaceae.